This 458-nucleotide ribosomal RNA is filed under the name uncultured bacterium. RNAcentral describes it as "partial 16S ribosomal RNA". It matches the Rfam family "Bacterial small subunit ribosomal RNA", at positions 338 to 795 of the family's 1533-position model. The record is from RNAcentral.
CCUACGGGUGGCUGCAGUGAGGAAUAUUGGUCAAUGGCCGGAAGGCUGAACCAGCCAUGCCGCGUGAAGGUCAGUGCCCUAUGGGCGUUAAACUUCUUUUGUGCGGGAGCAAUAAUGGUCACGUGUGGCCAGAUGAGUGUACCCGAAGAAAAAGCAUCGGCUAACUCCGUGCCAGCAGCCGCGGUAAUACGGAGGAUGCGAGCGUUAUCCGGAUUUAUUGGGUUUAAAGGGUGCGUAGGCGGACAGUCAAGUCAGCGGUAAAAAUGCGGUGCUCAACGCCGUACAGCCGUUGAAACUGGCAGUCUUGAGUGGGCGAGAAGUAUGCGGAAUGCGUGGUGUAGCGGUGAAAUGCAUAGAUAUCACGCAGAACUCCGAUUGCGAAGGCAGCAUACCGGCGCCCGACUGACGCUGAGGCACGAAAGCGUGGGUAUCGAACAGGAUUAGAUACCCUUGUAGUC